AUACGUAGGGGGCUAGCGUUAUCCGGAAUUACUGGGCGUAAAGGGUGCGUAGGUGGUUUCUUAAGUCAGAAGUGAAAGGCUACGGCUCAACCGUAGUAAGCUUUUGAAACUAAGAGACUUGAGUGCAGGAGAGGAGAGUAGAAUUCCUAGUGUAGCGGUGAAAUGCGUAGAUAUUAGGAGGAAUACCAGUUGCGAAGGCGGCCCUGUGGACUGAAAGUGACAGUGAGGCGCAAACGCGUGGUGACCAAACAUGAUGAGAUUCCCUGGGCGUCCACGCCGCAAACGGUGCGUACUAGCUAACGGGAGUUGCCCCCCUCGGUGUCGCAGCUAACGCAUUAAGUACUCCGCCUGGGAAGUACGCUCGCAAGAGUGAAACUCAAAUGAAUUGACGGGG
Molecule: ribosomal RNA, 394 nt
Filed under: uncultured bacterium
Lineage: Bacteria
Description: partial 16S ribosomal RNA
Rfam family: Bacterial small subunit ribosomal RNA
Source: RNAcentral